GAACGGGUGAGUAACACGUGGGCAACCUGCCCAAAAGAGGGGGAUUACACUUGGAAACAGGUGCUAAUACCGCAUAACCAUAGUUACCGCAUGGUAACUAUGUAAAAGGUGGCUAUGCUACCGCUUUUGGAUGGGCCCGCGGCGCAUUAGCUAGUUGGUGGGGUAAAGGCUUACCAAGGCAAUGAUGCGUAGCCGAACUGAGAGGUUGAUCGGCCACAUUGGGACUGAGACACGGCCCAAACUCCUACGGGAGGCAGCAGUAGGGAAUCUUCCACAAUGGGCGAAAGCCUGAUGGAGCAACGCCGCGUGGGUGAAGAAGGUCUUCGGAUCGUAAAACCCUGUUGUUAGAGAAGAAAGUGCGUGAGAGUAACUGUUCACGUUUCGACGGUAUCUAACCAGAAAGCCACGGCUAACUACGUGCCAGCAGCCGCGGUAAUACGUAGGUGGCAAGCGUUAUCCGGAUUUAUUGGGCGUAAAGGGAACGCAGGCGGUCUUUUAAGUCUGAUGUGAAAGCCUUCGGCUUAACCGGAGUAGUGCAUUGGAAACUGGGAGACUUGAGUGCAGAAGAGGAGAGUGGAACUCCAUGUGUAGCGGUGAAAUGCGUAGAUAUAUGGAAGAACACCAGUGGCGAAAGCGGCUCUCUGGUCUGUAACUGACGCUGAGGUUCGAAAGCGUGGGUAGCAAACAGGAUUAGAUACCCUGGUAGUCCACGCCGUAAACGAUGAAUGCUAAGUGUUGGAGGGUUUCCGCCCUUCAGUGCUGCAGCUAACGCAAUAAGCAUUCCGCCUGGGGAGUACGACCGCAAGGUUGAAACUCAAAGGAAUUGACGGGGGCCCGCACAAGCG
RNAcentral lists this ribosomal RNA (845 nucleotides) under uncultured bacterium. RNAcentral describes it as "bacterial SSU rRNA". It matches the Rfam family "Bacterial small subunit ribosomal RNA", at positions 100 to 931 of the family's 1533-position model. The record is from RNAcentral.